Molecule: ribosomal RNA, 497 nt
Filed under: uncultured bacterium
Lineage: Bacteria
Description: partial 16S ribosomal RNA
Rfam family: Bacterial small subunit ribosomal RNA
Source: RNAcentral
GAUGAACGCUGGCGGCGUGCCUAAUACAUGCAAGUCGAGCGAACAGACGAGGAGCUUGCUUCUCUGACGUUAGCGGCGGACGGGUGAGUAACACGUGGAUAACCUACCUAUAAGACUGGGAUAACUUCGGGAAACCGGAGCUAAUACCGGAUAAUAUUUUGAACCGCAUGGUUCAAUAGUGAAAGACGGUCUUGCUGUCACUUAUAGAUGGAUCCGCGCUGCAUUAGCUAGUUGGUAAGGUAACGGCUUACCAAGGCAACGAUGCGUAGCCGACCUGAGAGGGUGAUCGGCCACACUGGAACUGAGACACGGUCCAGACUCCUACGGGAGGCAGCAGUAGGGAAUCUUCCGCAAUGGGCGAAAGCCUGACGGAGCAACGCCGCGUGAGUGAUGAAGGUCUUCGGAUCGUAAAACUCUGUUAUUAGGGAAGAACAUAUGUGUAAGUAACUGUGCACAUCUUGACGGUACCUAAUCAGAAAGCCACGGCUAACUACGUG